GACGAACGCUGGCGGCGUGCCUAACACAUGCAAGUCGAACGGAAAGGCACUGCUUUUGUGGGGUGCUCGAGUGGCGAACGGGUGAGUAACACGUGAGUAACCUGCCCUUGACUUUGGGAUAACUUCAGGAAACUGGGGUUAAUACCGGAUAGGAGAUCCUGCUGCAUGGUGGGGGUUGGAAAGUUUCGGCGGUCGGGGAUGGACUGGCGGGUUACCAGCUUGUUGGUGGGGUAGUGGCUUACCAAGGCUUUGACGGGUAGCCGGCCUGGGAGGGUGACCGGCCACAUUGGGACUGAGGUAGGGCCCAGACGCCAACGUGAGGCAGCGGUGGGGAACAUUGCACAAUGGGCGAGAGCCUGAGACAGCGACGCCGCGUUCGGGAUGACGGCCUUCGGGGUGUAAACCGCUUUCGCCUGUUACGAAGCGUGAGUGACGGUAAUGGGUAAAGAAGCACCGGCUAACUACGUG
This 468-nucleotide ribosomal RNA is filed under the name uncultured bacterium. RNAcentral's name for it is "partial 16S ribosomal RNA". It matches the Rfam family "Bacterial small subunit ribosomal RNA", at positions 28 to 507 of the family's 1533-position model. The record is from RNAcentral.